RNAcentral lists this ribosomal RNA (229 nucleotides) under uncultured bacterium. Its description in RNAcentral is "partial 16S ribosomal RNA". It matches the Rfam family "Bacterial small subunit ribosomal RNA", at positions 103 to 334 of the family's 1533-position model. The record is from RNAcentral.
CGGGUGAGUAAUGCAUCGGAACAUGUCCAUGUCGUGGGGGAUAGCCCGGCGAAAGCCGGAUUAAUACCGCAUACGCCCGAGAGGGGAAAGUGGGGGACCGCAAGGCCUCACGCGAUUGGGUUGGCCGAUGUCCGAUUAGCUAGUUGGUGGGGUAAAGGCCUACCAAGGCGACGAUCUGUAGCUGGUCUGAGAGGACGAUCAGCCGCACUGGGACUGAGACACGGCCCAG